Myotis davidii is the source of this 1120-nucleotide long non-coding RNA. RefSeq lists it as uncharacterized. The record is from RefSeq and is a predicted model, not a curated record. NCBI's taxonomy places the organism in Eukaryota, Metazoa, Chordata, Mammalia, Chiroptera, Vespertilionidae. The transcript has 8 exons.
CUGGAAGAGGGGUCACGGCUUUCAUUAAACUGGCUCCACCUCUUACUCAGGUUCCCUGGUCAGUGCAGCUACACCCACAAAUACCAGGGCCUUUCCAAAACCAAGACACAGAGCCAAAGAUAGGAGCAGCUCAGAUCUGCAUCUCCUCCCAUGAGGGCCAGACUUUCUCCAAAGUGAGGAGAGAACUUCACACAAGAAAACGGGAGAUAAGACUCGCGGAUCAGUGAGCGGACCUGCCCCAACCCACACCCAGCGAAUGGAGUACGUGGCGGGUGGCCACAGAGGCCAAGAAUCAGACGUGGGAGGGCGUGUGGAGUCCAUAGUGCAGCUCCCGCAAAAAAUGGCCAAAGGACCCGCAGAACGGAUGAAGGUUCUGGAGAAUGUACAUUGAGAAACAGCGAUUCCAUCCAACCUGCCCGAUGGACUUAAUACAUGCGCUACGGGUGCCUGGGUCAGGAUGCUGUGAGCAGCGUCAGCCCUCCUGCGGCCUUGGAUACGUUCCUUAAUGUCUCCACAACCCGCUGUCUUCGUCUGAAACCUGGAGCUGGAGAGAGAACUCGCCUCAAUGCUGCUGGGAGGAUUCAGUACCGGCUCUCACAUGAGUGCACCUGGAGGGAAACUGGAAACAUCACCGAAUUAUGAUUCGGUCACAGUCAUGCAAUGGAGAUGGCCUGGCGAUCAAACACAACAAAAGAAAGAGUUGGAUUCUAAUAGAAGCUCAAACCCAGACAAAGAGAAAACCCAAAUCCGGUCCCGGUGAGCCAAGUGAAGACCACAUCAGAACUGCACGAUGAGGCCAGCGUUUCUGGAACGCUAACAGUGGCUGGCACGUCAUCUGGAGCCACAGGGACAGGGUGGCUGAGUUUUUACGAUCAAUUGUAUUGAUCCAGGAAAACGGAAACCAAAAUAACUCUGUGAGAAAGGAACACUGGAAAGAUCAAUCAGAUGGAAUAAAAAUUGGUACUCAGGUGUGGAGGGGGAUUGCAUAGAAGGAGCGGAGGUGGACAUCCCUCCUGUGUUCCAGGCUUCUGUCACACGGUGCCCCAGCCUACUGACUGCUGUGUCAAACUGAUCCAGUGGGAUCCACAGAGAGAGGAGAGAAGGACAGAGAGAGACACAC